This 568-nucleotide ribosomal RNA is filed under the name Llimoniella gregorellae. RNAcentral describes it as "eukaryotic LSU rRNA". The stretch from base 221 to 374 matches the Rfam family "5.8S ribosomal RNA". Lineage: Eukaryota; Fungi; Ascomycota; Leotiomycetes; Helotiales; Cordieritidaceae. The record is from RNAcentral.
AGUCGUAACAAGGUUUCCGUAGGUGAACCUGCGGAAGGAUCAUUACCGAGUUCGUGCCCCUCCCGGGGUAGACCUCCCCCCCUGCUUACAUCUCCCUGCGUUGCUUUGGCGGGUCGCUCGAUCUAGUCGAGCCACCGGGCUUCCCGGUGCGUGCCCGCCAGAGGUCCCCCAAUCUCGCGUUGAACGUAUGUCGUCCGAGCCCAUGACUAUAGAAGAAUAAAACUUUCAACAACGGAUCUCUUGGCUCUGGCAUCGAUGAAGAACGCAGCGAAUUGCGAUAAGUAGUGUGAAUUGCAGAAUCUAGUGAAUCAUCGAAUCUUUGAACGCACAUUGCGCCCCCCGGCACUCCGGGGGGCAUGCCUGUUCGAGCGUCAUCAUCAUCCCUCAAGCCUUAGCUUGGUGUUGGGGCCCGCGAGCUCUCGCAGCCCCUAAAUCUAGUGGACCCGUUCCCCUAGCCGAGCGUAGUAGAAACCCUCGUUCCGGCUGGUAGGGAGCUGUGGGCCAGUAAACCCCUCGACGCAUUUGACCUCGGAUCAGGUAGGAGUACCCGCUGAACUUAAGCAUAUCU